This 499-nucleotide ribosomal RNA is filed under the name uncultured bacterium. RNAcentral's name for it is "partial 16S ribosomal RNA". It matches the Rfam family "Bacterial small subunit ribosomal RNA", at positions 28 to 507 of the family's 1533-position model. The record is from RNAcentral.
GACGAACGCUGGCGGCGUGCCUAAUACAUGCAAGUCGAGCGAAGUUUUUCUGGUGCUUGCACUAGAAACACUUAGCGGCGCACGGGUGAGUAACACGUAAAGAACCUGCCUCAUAGACUGGGACAACUAUUGGAAACGAUAGCUAAUACCGGAUAACAGUAUUUCUCGCAUGAGAGAUAUUUAAAAGUUGGUUAUGCUAACACUAUGAGAUGGCUUUGCGGUGCAUUAGCUAGUUGGUGGGGUAAAGGCCCACCAAGGCGACGAUGCAUAGCCGACCUGAGAGGGUGAUCGGCCACACUGGGACUGAGACACGGCCCAGACUCCUACGGGAGGCAGCAGUAGGGAAUCUUCCGCAAUGGGCGAAAGCCUGACGGAGCAACGCCGCGUGAGUGAAGAAGGAUUUCGGUUCGUAAAGCUCUGUUGUUAGGGAAGAAUGGAUAUGUAGUAACUAUACAUGUAAGAGACGGUACCUAACCAGAAAGCCACGGCUAACUACGUG